UACAGAGGGUGCAAGCGUUAAUCGGAAUUACUGGGCGUAAAGCGUGCGUAGACGGUUACAUAAGUCGGGUGUGAAAGCCCCGGGCUCAACCUGGGAAUUGCAUUCGAGACUGCGUAGCUAGGGUGCGGAAGAGGGAAGCGGAAUUUCCGGUGUAGCGGUGAAAUGCGUAGAUAUCGUAAGGAAGACCAGUGGCGAAGGCGGGUCUCUGGACAGUUCCUGACGCUGAGGCACGAAGGUCAGGGGAGCAAACGGG
Molecule: ribosomal RNA, 253 nt
Filed under: uncultured bacterium
Lineage: Bacteria
Description: partial 16S ribosomal RNA
Rfam family: Bacterial small subunit ribosomal RNA
Source: RNAcentral